Molecule: long non-coding RNA, 810 nt
Organism: Cynoglossus semilaevis (tongue sole)
Lineage: Eukaryota; Metazoa; Chordata; Actinopteri; Pleuronectiformes; Cynoglossidae
Exons: 3
Source: RefSeq, a predicted model, not a curated record
UCCUCUUUUGGGACAACUGUGUCCUGCUGCUCAGACGUCUCAGACAUUUCAGAUGUUAGGACUGCAGCAGGAAGUGAGGUGGUCUCAAACACAGGGGCGGCUGGAGCAGCCACUGGUUCCAUCUGGAUGAGAAGACACACAGGCUCUGCUGGCUUCACCUGUAACUUCCUUUGAGACUCCAGGACGACCAUGAUGGAUGCAGGAAUGUGAGCUUGCUGUUGGGCAGAAAAACAGAGGUUAAAUCCACGGGUCGUGGCCUUAAAGACUGAGCAGCGAUGUACAGUGGAGCCAUUUACCUGCAGGGGGGUGAAGGAGAGGACGUGCUGUAGAAGAGGUUCUCUCAUCUCUGGGCAACGUUCAAACACACUGUUCAGCUGGGCGGGGGGCAGCUGGAGGAGAACGCUGUAGGACUGAGGCUUGGUCCUUUGGCAGCACUUCACAAAUCCUUCCCAAACCUUUGGGUACUUCCAAACCUGUACGAGGACCAAGGACCAAGUUAGUAUCUGAUCCAGAGGACGGAGACCAGGAGAGACCCAGAGAGAGUCUAGAACACACCUGGGCAAACUACGACCCGCCAAACACUGGUACAAGAAGCCGUAGCUGGACUCUGUCCUGACCUGCUUCACUAUGAGACGAGACAGGAUGUUCAUGACGAAUCCCCCCAGUCUGGGAUACAUGGUGAGGGACUGGAUCACCGUGCGCAUCAGCAGCAUGGGGAGGGGGCUGUGGUCCAUGAGCUGCUGCAUCACCACAGCCAACACCUCGGACGUGUAAACAUUCCUUUCCCCAAAGCACAGAUUGGUGGCUGAG